GAGAUGUGCUGAGAGAUUCCGUUUAGGGCUCGUUUACACGACCGUUGCCCCCACGUGCCUGUGCUGUGGACCACAAAUUGCAGUCCGCAAUGCACGGGCACCGACUGUGGGCCAGCCGCAUGCGGAUUGCAAACCCAUUCACUUGAAUGAG
Long non-coding RNA from Bufo bufo (common toad), 151 nucleotides. RefSeq lists it as uncharacterized. NCBI's taxonomy places the organism in Eukaryota, Metazoa, Chordata, Amphibia, Anura, Bufonidae. The record is from RefSeq and is a predicted model, not a curated record. The transcript has 3 exons.